This 578-nucleotide ribosomal RNA is filed under the name uncultured bacterium. RNAcentral's name for it is "bacterial SSU rRNA". It matches the Rfam family "Bacterial small subunit ribosomal RNA", at positions 338 to 916 of the family's 1533-position model. The record is from RNAcentral.
CCUACGGGAGGCAGCAGUAAGGAAUAUUGGUCAAUGGAGGCAACUCUGAACCAGCCAUGCCGCGUGCAGGAAGACAGCCCUCUGGGUCGUAAACUGCUUUUAUUCGGGAAUAAACCUUAUUACGUGUAAUAAGCUGAAUGUACCGAAGGAAUAAGGAUCGGCUAACUCCGUGCCAGCAGCCGCGGUAAUACGGAGGAUCCAAGCGUUAUCCGGAUUUAUUGGGUUUAAAGGGUGCGUAGGCGGCUUAUUAAGUCAGGGGUGAAAGACGGUGGCUCAACCAUCGCAGUGCCUUUGAUACUGAUGAGCUUGAAUGAACUAGAGGUAGGCGGAAUGUGACAAGUAGCGGUGAAAUGCAUAGAUAUGACACAGAACACCGAUUGCGAAGGCAGCUUACUAUGGUUUUAUUGACGCUGAGGCACGAAAGCGUGGGGAUCAAACAGGAUUAGAUACCCUGGUAGUCCACGCCCUAAACGAUGAAUACUCGCUGUUAGCGAUAUACAGUUAGCGGCUAAGCGAAAGCGUUAAGUAUUCCACCUGGGGAGUACGCCCGCAAGGGUGAAACUCAAAGGAAUUGACGG